This is a non-coding RNA of Oryctolagus cuniculus (rabbit), 364 nucleotides long. Lineage: Eukaryota; Metazoa; Chordata; Mammalia; Lagomorpha; Leporidae. The record is from RefSeq and is a predicted model, not a curated record.
GCGCCGCGGCUCACUAGGCUAAUCCUCCGCCUAGCGGCGCCGGCACACCGGGUUCUAGUCCCGGUUGGGGCGCUGGAUUCUGUCCCGGUUGCCCCUCUUCCAGGCCAGCUCUCUGCUGUGGCCAGGGAGUGCAGUGGAGGAUGGCCCAGGUGCUUGGGCCCUGCACCCCAUGGGAGACCAGGAAAAGCACCUGGCUCCUGGCUCCUGCCAUCAGAUCAGCGCGGUGCGCCGGCCGCAGCGUGCCGGCUGCGGCAGCCAUUGGAGGGUGAACCAACGGCAAAGGAAGACCUUUCUCUCUGUCUCUCUCUCUCUCAUUGUCCACUCUGCCUGUCAAAAAAUAAAAUAAAAUAAAAAAAAAAAUAAA